This 462-nucleotide ribosomal RNA is filed under the name Ascaltis reticulum. Its description in RNAcentral is "eukaryotic LSU rRNA". Lineage: Eukaryota; Metazoa; Porifera; Calcarea; Clathrinida; Leucascidae. The record is from RNAcentral.
UGAAAAGAAACUUUGGAGAGAGAGUUAAAAGCACGUGAAGCCGUUGAAAGGGAAACGCGCUCGGCUAGCAAUGUGCCAUCACGGUUCAGCCGUUUUGGGCGGCGCGGCAGUGGCUACGGAUCCGAAUGGACCGGAGUCGUUGUUAGCUGUCGUCCGAGACGCGGUGCACUCUUUGGUGGUACGCGUCAGCGUCGGUUGGCGGUGGGUGAUAAGGCCUGUCGGAAGGUGACUCCCUCCGGGGAGUGUUAAGCCGUCAGUGCUGGGCCCACCAGCGACCGAGGAGAGAGAGUAUCGUCGCAGCGCAUGCCGCAAGGCUAGCUGCCCGCCGUCCGGUUGGUUCCAUCGGUGGAGGACUGCACGCAGUGCUCUGUUGAGCGGGGCUGCCUGGCGGUGGAGCGGUAUAAAUGCGCUUAGGACGCUGGCGUCCAAAUGGCCGUGCGCGACCCGUCUUGAAAACACGGA